RNAcentral lists this ribosomal RNA (693 nucleotides) under Siphonaria pectinata. RNAcentral describes it as "small subunit ribosomal RNA". Lineage: Eukaryota; Metazoa; Mollusca; Gastropoda; Siphonariida; Siphonariidae. The record is from RNAcentral.
CCCACUUUGUUCUGAUGGAAACUUUACAUAAACUAAGCUUGACAUGGAAGUUUUGCAUUACCAGCAAGAAACAUUAAACCAUACUGGAAACAGUAAUUCAGCUUUGCAUUCUUCGUGACCUACUAGGGUGCCAGCAGUCGCGGUCAUACCCUGACGGAAGUAAAACAUCUUAGGAUGGCUUUUGCCUAAAAUAAGAAAUAUAGGUGAAAUUACUUUUCUUUUCAUCCAUCAGGCGAUAUUUUGCCUAAACUCAAACGGUAAACUGGGAUUAGAUACCCCAUUAUACAGAGCUAAAAUUUUAACCUAAGCACUAAGACUUUAUAGUUAAAACUUAAAGGACAUGGCGGCGGUAUUUAUUCAGGGGAACUUACCAGAUAAAUGACAAUCCACAAGGGACCACCCUAAUCUUUAAAGCAUGUAUACCACCGUCAAGAACUCACUUUAGGUAAGUUCAAUUAGUUUUCCACCUAAAGACAGGUCAUGGUGCAGCUCAUAGUUUAGUUCUAGGCGAGUUACAAUAUUUAAUUUAUAUAUUUUCUUCCUAUGAAAAAGGUUGAAAAGUAGGACUUGAAAGUAAACCCUUCUUUAAAAGAAAUAUCUAUUGAAUUUUCUUUACCGUGCACAAAUCGCCCGUCACUCUCCUUGGAAAAGGAGAUAAGUCGUAACACAGUAAGGGUAAUGGAAAUUGCCCUU